RNAcentral lists this small RNA (433 nucleotides) under Histoplasma capsulatum. RNAcentral describes it as "hypothetical RNA". RNAcentral also lists the same sequence under 1 other name. Lineage: Eukaryota; Fungi; Ascomycota; Eurotiomycetes; Onygenales; Ajellomycetaceae. The record is from RNAcentral.
AGCCCUGGAUCAGUAUCGUGCACACCUAAUAAGGAAGACACAGGUGGGCGCUCCGAGAACUAACCGAGCGACCAUACACAUCGAGCGCCUUAUCCUUUUCCUUCACAGAAACGUCCAUAUCAUCAUUCGAACCGCCAUCGGAAUUGGAUGUCGAGGGUUGUUUACCCAGUAACACGUGAGAGUCUUUCUUUCCACCCCUAGGAGCACAUAGAGCGCAAAGCAAUAGAAAACAACCAGUCAUGGCCACAAUAACAGGGAUACCGACUGAUUUACAAAAUACGCUCGUCACUUCACUUGGCGCAAAGUCACCACCAGAAGUCUUGCUUGGCGCGGCAUUGAUACAGCUCAGAAGAUGCAAACGGGAGCAGCCACGACUGAUGUAAUCCGAAGAGAAAUGGAUGAUAGCUGAAAUGGGUGAGAAGAAACGGCUAAC